GAGUUUGAUCAUGGCUCAGAUUGAACGCUGGCGGCACGCCUAACACAUGCAAGUCGAGCGGCAGCAUGAUGUGUAGUAAUACACAUUGAUGGCGAGCGGCGGACGGGUGAGGAACACGUAGGGAUCUACCCUCAAGCGGGGGACAACCAAGGGAAACUUUGGCUAAUACCGCAUAAACUCGGAAGAGAAAAAGUUGCUCGUAAAGGGUGACACUUGAGGAGGAGCCUGCGUCCGAUUAGCUAGUUGGUAGGGUAAGAGCUACCAAGGCGAUGAUCGGUAACUGGUCUGAGAGGACGACCAGUCACACUGGGACUGAGACACGGCCCAGACUCCUACGGGAGGCAGCAGUGGGGGAAUCUUGGCAAAAUGGGGGC
RNAcentral lists this ribosomal RNA (374 nucleotides) under uncultured Gammaproteobacteria bacterium. RNAcentral's name for it is "bacterial SSU rRNA". It matches the Rfam family "Bacterial small subunit ribosomal RNA", at positions 9 to 378 of the family's 1533-position model. Lineage: Bacteria; Pseudomonadati; Pseudomonadota; Gammaproteobacteria. The record is from RNAcentral.